UACAGAGGUGGCAAGCGUUGUUCGGAAUUACUGGGCGUAAAGGGCGCGUAGGCGGCCUUCUAAGUCAGACGUGAAAUCCCCCGGCUUAACCUGGGAACUGCGUCUGAUACUGGGAGGCUUGAGUAUGGGAGAGGGAUGUAGAAUUCCAGGUGUAGCGGUGAAAUGCGUAGAUAUCUGGAGGAAUACCGGUGGCGAAGGCGGCAUCCUGGACCAUUACUGACGCUGAGGUGCGAAAGCGUGGGGAGCAAACAGG
Molecule: ribosomal RNA, 253 nt
Filed under: uncultured bacterium
Lineage: Bacteria
Description: partial 16S ribosomal RNA
Rfam family: Bacterial small subunit ribosomal RNA
Source: RNAcentral